UCGGGAAUUUUGGGCAAUGGGCGAAAGCCUGACCCAGCAACGCCGCGUGAAGGAUGAAGUAUUUCGGUAUGUAAACUUCGAAAGAAUGGGAAGAAUCAAUGACGGUACCAUUUAUAAGGUCCGGCUAACUACGUGCCAGCAGCCGCGGUAAUACGUAGGGACCAAGCGUUGUUCGGAUUUACUGGGCGUAAAGGGCGCGUAGGCGGCUUUGUAAGUCACUUGUGAAAUCUCCGGGCUUAACUCGGAACGGCCAAGUGAUACUGCAAAGCUAGAGUGCAGAAGGGGCAAUCGGUAUUCUUGGUGUAGCGGUGAAAUGCGUAGAUAUCAAGAGGAACACCUUAGGUGAAGACGGGUUGCUGGGCUGACACUGACGCUGAGGCGCGAAAGCCAGGGGAGCAAACGGGAUUAGAUACCCACGUAGUCCCUGAGCGGGCUGGCAAGGCGCAU
This 447-nucleotide ribosomal RNA is filed under the name uncultured bacterium. RNAcentral describes it as "bacterial SSU rRNA". It matches the Rfam family "Bacterial small subunit ribosomal RNA", at positions 355 to 825 of the family's 1533-position model. The record is from RNAcentral.